This 4998-nucleotide long non-coding RNA is filed under the name Podarcis lilfordi (Lilford's wall lizard). Lineage: Eukaryota; Metazoa; Chordata; Lepidosauria; Squamata; Lacertidae. The record is from RNAcentral.
UCAUCACUAUCAAUAUGACAGAUUGACGUUCAGCUAUUGUCAUUUUAAACCGUAAUUUUAUGAUUUCUCAGAUGCAGUCUAUAUCCAGUCUAUGAUUGGCAGGCAUUGUUGCAUAUAUAAGUUUGCCCUCUUCAGUUGUUAUAGUUCCCAUGCUAUUGUACAUAGGAGCAGGGAUGACCAAGUAGCCCAAGCCGAUGUGACCUGGAACCCCAGUUGUUCAGAGUUCUAGGUUAUGUGGAAGUCUUUGUAUAUGUAAACUGUAUUUACGAAUUCUCUGUCUCUGCAGGCAUUUGGACUGUGCCCAUGGAUGCCAGUGGUCAGCGCUAGCUGGCACAACCCCACUCCUAUACAGAGCAACAUGGGAGUUGUAACAACUGAAGACGACUGUAACUGUUUAGUGGAAAGGCAGUAUUCUUAGUCUAUGAGAAAUCCAUGGCAGUUUUCCUUUAUCAUGACUGCUUUCAGUUGUUUGCAGCAACUGCUUUCUCACUGUUUUCUCCGUGGCUUCACUGGCCAUUUUUAUUUAAUUAUUCAUUGAGUGUUUGCAGCCAAUCAGGAGUCAUAUACAUAGUAUGAUAACAUCACAAUGCAAUACAGUAAAGUGUCACAGCUUAUGUUGUUGAGGGUGUUUCCUCUUAUGGCUCAUGAUGGGCAAGACACCACUGAUUCCAACCUUUCCUCUGCCAUAAACUCACCUGGUGACCUUAGGCAGGCCAAUCACAUACUCUUUCAACCAUAGCCUCCUUUCCAAUAAUAGGAUGCUAUCUUACAGGACCAUUUCCCAGAUUACAUCAAAAUAAUGUGUAUGAACUGUUUUGAGCACUCUCUCAAGUUCUUUUAUAAAUAAGUGUUACUGUUAUAGUUUCAAGUCUGAGGAGGACUGCUUGUUGAAGAGGAGGAGAAUUUGGAAGGGAAUAUAAUGUUGAUCUGUGAGGUUAAAAUGUUAUGCGUUUUAAGAUUGUCAAAUUAGUAAUUGCUGCAAACAGUAGCAUAGUUUGUAUAAGAUAGGUCAGUGUUAUAAUUACAAUAGAUGCAUUGGUGUAAAAUUUAAACUUUUAAUGUGCUUUAGGCUGCUGAUGAAUAAUUUCAGGGCCUCAUGAGGUGAUGGCACUGCUGUCUCUCAGUUAAUUUAGAGCCUAGUGGUGUUUCAUUGGUACCUGGAAGUCAAUUCACAGAUAGCAAAACUUUAGAGCCAACUUCAGAGAAACUUACUUUGAGGAGAUAGUAAAAUUACAUUAGUUAAACUUCAGAGAGGAGAAGGGGUACAUAAUGUGGCAGGUUCCCAGAAUAAAUUAUUCAAUCAAGAGGAGAGCUUAUGUGGGAACCAGUGCAAUUUUUCUAUAAAAAAGAGGUGCCAGGAACACCUCCCUUGUUCUCUUAGAAUGGCAAUGGUGCCCACCUGAGAGGUGCUGAAACUGAGUUCCGGUGAGUUCCCGCUGAAAAAUGUACUGGUGGAAACACAUCAACAUAGAUACAUCUGACUACAUUUAAUCCCUCCACCCCACUCAGAAAAUCAAGGUGGAAAACAAUGGGUGUUUUCCUACCAGAUACCUUUGCUUAGAUGCCCUAGUAAACCAUUAAAAAGUGGAUGAGUAUCUUUUGUCUGACACUUAAUUCCCAUUGCUGCGCUAUCAGUGCAGAUUUAAGACUCUCUCAACUUGUUUUAAAAUGGCAAAGAUAAACACAAUAGAGAGAGGCUAAGAGGUUAAGCUACAAAUCAGGAAGUCUCUGGGUAAAAUUUUGCUUCUCCCAUGAACUCACCAGGUGACUUUAGUCUACUCACUCAUUCUGUUUGCUCCUCCAGUUGUGUAAAGCUGGUUGAUUAUGCCAGGAAGCCAGAUGAGCACUUGCAUGCCAAGGCCCUGUGACCUGCAGUUCCCUAGUGCAUAAUAAACACACGGACAUGAGUAUUUAGGUUUAUGGGUUCAAAUAGGCCACAACUUUAUUGGUUACAGAUGUGAGCAGUUUGGAUUAGUCAUUGGGUGAAGCCAGGCUAUAUUGUGACUCACGCCCAUCUGCAGGGAGUCCAUCUAAGUGUAAACCGCCAAUAGGGGGAGCCCUAUGACUUACAUCAAAUAGGGGCAUCCUAAGGGGUCCCCGAUGGGGUUGUGGCAUGGCCCUAGCUCACAUCUGGGCAUCAGACAGAAUCCACACCCCCGGAUCCCUUUAACAGGAUACCCUUAAUGAGGAGGGGCAUGCGGAGGCUACAAUCUCCCAUCGAUCCAAACAAAGCUUACCCAAUGUCUAACUUCACAAAGUUGUAAUGAUUGUUACAAGGUAGGUGAAAACCAAGUGGCUGGUGCCAAUUUGCCAAGUGGAAAAAAAUUCCUACCCAAUCCCAACAAUAUGGCGACCAAUGUUUGUCCAUAGCAAGUUCAUGUCAUCUGGUGAAGGGCGCAAGAGGAGGGCUCUCCAGCUGUGCCGCAGUUUAAGUUUCCUGCAGCCCAGACUCCUGCCAGCACUAAUUGGAUAGCGGGGCCACCCUUGGGCAGGCCCAGCACCGGCGACGUGGCCUGGAUGGCAACGAUGGAGGCAUUGAUCUCUGCCUCCUGCCAGAUCACUGUAGGAGCCCAAUGCCUGGCCGCAACAUUGCCCACCAGAAAAGGUGACCGGACCUUCCUAACACUUUCCUGUACCUUUCUAAAGGACCAUUUCCUGAUAUUCCUUCUCAGUGAAGCUACCUGGCUAUGCUCCUAGCCAGAGUGAGGAUCUUGGUCAGAGUUGUUUCUAUUUGGCUCAGUGACAUCCCUCUAGCUCUUUCACUAUGGAGAGAACUGCUGAUGAAUUUCAAGUAUAGGCAACAUCAAGGCUUGCAACUUUGCAAAGUUUUUUUGUUUUUGUUUUUUUAAGAGAAGCUUACAUAAUAGGGGCCAAAAGAUUGAAUCAGUGAGCUGUGGGAUCAUGUCACUUAUUUUAAUAGUUUUAUAUAAUUGUCAACUUUGAUAACUGAUCAGAAGCAAAACAGAAGAAACAGAUCCAUCUUUCUCCUUUGUGUGCUGUGAUAUGCUGAACGCACAGUGUUGCUGCUACCCAUAUAUGGGCAGAAAGCAUUUCUAUGCACUCACAGGGGGAUGUUGCGCCUGGCAUCUCUCCUCACCCCCAAUUGGAUGCAAUUCCAGAGGUUUCUUGAACCCUCAAUAGUAACUUAUAUGGGGAAUGCAAAAUGCCUUAACAAACACACAGAAUCUCAGUCUGUGGAGCUCUACAUAGCACAGUGGACAGCCAACUUUCUAUGUUCUUGAGACUGCUCUACUUUAAAAGCUGUGAUACAGAGUCACUAUCUAGCAGUAGGGCUUCAGAGUUGUGUUGUACAGGCAGAUGGGCUUUGCAGAAUCUUGCAAACAAAGCAAGUUCGUAUAUUACCGGUAGAUCUUUUGAAAAACCAUUUUAUUUCCCUUCUGAGUGAGAAUGUAGGCAGUUUCCUACCAUAAUCUUGAUUAAAAUUUCAUAGAACAACCAGAGGCUAGAUAGCAUUACUUUAGGCACCAAAUCUGGAAAUUUCUUAUGUAGCAGUUACAAACCUUUAUAUAUAUAUAUAUAAUAAUUUCCCCUCAAAAAUAAGUGCCAAAUCACAGAGGAUUUCGUUAGUGCUUUUCUGUGGCCCCCACUCAUUUGAGUUGAGCUUGUGUAGGAGAGCCUUUCUCCAUAUUGUGCUUCUAAGUGUUCAAAUGUCUGCAAGAAUCCAGGACAAACUUCUCUUGCACGAUAGCACUGAAUUGACCAAUGGCACAAACUUAUCUGUGCAUGUCUUUAAUAUUUCUCCAUAAAAACAGAUUACACCUGCAUUUGGGCUUCCAUCUUCUUGAAGGGAGGAGGUUGGAAGGAUAUGCACACACAUGUGAGAGUAUAAACACAUCAUUAUGCUUUCAUGACAGAUAAGCUUUCUCCAUUCAAGUGUAAACUCAUUUUUCUUUGGAUGACCUUUAAAUAGUAUUGUGCUAUUGUAUGGGAUUUAAAUCAAUAAUUGUGUCAAAGCAAAAUAUACUGCAGUUUUUUCCUUUAUCAUUUAAACUCUUCUGCAAACUAUCAAGGCGAUUUUAAUGUGCUGUCCUCAGAAGAGGAGAUGGGGAGGGAGGGAAAGUCCCUGAAAAUUUGCAUAAAUAUAACUAAAGAAAAUGCAAUUCUAUUCCUUAUUUCUGUUUUUUAUUUUCUUGCUUUAUCUUGCAGAAUGUUCAAGCAGCAGGCAAACAGCCCGUGCCACUAUAAUUAGUAGCUUAAUACCAUCUCUGCAUUCCCAUUGUAAAACACCAGUGUGUCCCAGGUGUGAGAAGGUUAAAAUGAGAAGUACCCAGUAGUUAUGAAGCUGCAAUAAUGAGUUUCCUUCUACUUACCAUGGAUUUGUGUGAUAUACAACUUGCAAUUAAGCAUGGCUUGGUGAUUCAGUGAUUAAUGUAUAUACGACUCCUAAAGGAGCAGCUCAGCCCUCCCGUCACAUCCUUCUUGAUGUUUACAGCUGGGUACCUAUUAACAGGAAGAUGGAAAGGGCCAUUUACAAUUCAGUAACCUUUAUGACAGUGAACUCUUUAAUCAGCAUUUUAUUUCCUUUGUAACACUUUAGUCAUCUACAAAUGUCAGAAUAAAAUAGGGCCAUGAAAUAUUUAGGAUCGGCAUGUGGAAAUUGACUUCCCUGAUUUAAGCUGCUGUGUCUUUUCAUUUUGUUGUUUUGGGAGCUCUUUACUUUUUAUUGAAAGACAAUUUAUAACUAAAUGCUCCCAAUAGUGACUUAGCAUUAGUGUAGGCGGAAUUACUGAAAUCCAAGUUCUCGUUCUAUAAUAUGUUGAUGCUUCCUGGAUUUGGUAAUAAGUUAUUCAAAUAAAAUCAUUAGCUGAGGGCUUCUGUUAAACUUGCAGUAGAAUAUAUAUCUUGUGCAUGUAGAACACACUUAUGGAGUGAGUAAAGAACCAAACAUACUUUACAAUGUAAAUUAAAUAAAAUGUGCACAUUGCUGGUAUGAGGUGUUCGAGAUGUGGUUUUUACACAUCAUUCUUGUCUGUCUGU